AGUCGAGCGCUUCACUUCGGUGAGGAGCGGCAGACGGGUGAGUAACGCGUGGGAACAUACCUAAUAGUACGGAAUAACGAUUGGAAACGAUCGCUAAUACCGUAUACGCCCUUCGGGGGAAAGAUUUAUCGCUAUUAGAUUGGCCCGCGUUGGAUUAGAUAGUUGGUGAGGUAACGGCUCACCAAGGCGACGAUCUAUAGCUGGUCUGAGAGGAUGAUCAGCCACACUGGGACUGAGACACGGCCCAGACUCCUACGGGAGGCAGCAGUGGGGAAUAUUGGACAAUGGGCGCAAGCCUGAUCCAGCCAUGCCGCGUGAGUGAUGAAGGCCUUAGGGUUGUAAAGCUCUUUCGCUAGGGAAGAUAAUGACGGUACCUAGUAAAGAAGCCCCGGCUAACUUCGUGCCAGCAGCCGCGGUAAUACGAAGGGGGCUAACGUUGUUCGGAUUUACUGGGCGUAAAGCGUACGUAGGCGGAUUAGUAAGUUAGGGGUGAAAUCCCGAGGCUCAACCUCGGAACUGCCUUUAAUACUGCUAAUCUAGAGAUCGGGAGAGGUGUAUGGAACUCCUAGUGUAGAGGUGGAAUUCGUAGAUAUUAGGAAGAACACCAGUGGCGAAGGCGA
Molecule: ribosomal RNA, 620 nt
Filed under: uncultured bacterium
Lineage: Bacteria
Description: bacterial SSU rRNA
Rfam family: Bacterial small subunit ribosomal RNA
Source: RNAcentral